Molecule: ribosomal RNA, 720 nt
Filed under: Enterobacter sp. BAB-3761
Lineage: Bacteria; Pseudomonadati; Pseudomonadota; Gammaproteobacteria; Enterobacterales; Enterobacteriaceae
Description: bacterial SSU rRNA
Rfam family: Bacterial small subunit ribosomal RNA
Source: RNAcentral
ACCCUGGUAGUCCACGCCGUAAACGAUGUCGACUUGGAGGUUGUGCCCUUGAGGCGUGGCUUCCGGAGCUAACGCGUUAAGUCGACCGCCUGGGGAGUACGGCCGCAAGGUUAAAACUCAAAUGAAUUGACGGGGGCCCGCACAAGCGGUGGAGCAUGUGGUUUAAUUCGAUGCAACGCGAAGAACCUUACCUACUCUUGACAUCCAGAGAACUUUCCAGAGAUGGAUUGGUGCCUUCGGGAACUCUGAGACAGGUGCUGCAUGGCUGUCGUCAGCUCGUGUUGUGAAAUGUUGGGUUAAGUCCCGCAACGAGCGCAACCCUUAUCCUUUGUUGCCAGCGGUUAGGCCGGGAACUCAAAGGAGACUGCCAGUGAUAAACUGGAGGAAGGUGGGGAUGACGUCAAGUCAUCAUGGCCCUUACGAGUAGGGCUACACACGUGCUACAAUGGCGCAUACAAAGAGAAGCGACCUCGCGAGAGCAAGCGGACCUCAUAAAGUGCGUCGUAGUCCGGAUUGGAGUCUGCAACUCGACUCCAUGAAGUCGGAAUCGCUAGUAAUCGUAGAUCAGAAUGCUACGGUGAAUACGUUCCCGGGCCUUGUACACACCGCCCGUCACACCAUGGGAGUGGGUUGCAAAAGAAGUAGGUAGCUUAACCUUCGGGAGGGCGCUUACCACUUUGUGAUUCAUGACUGGGGUGAAGUCGUAACAAAAGGUAACCA